AUUCCCUGUUAUCUACACUGUGUGGAAGACAUCUUUUCAGAGUCUAUGCAUGGCUGAAGGGCACAGUUCCUGUAGCUGUUUACACUGGUGAGCCAGGUGGGUCUUCUCAGAGCCCUACCAACUGUCUUGGAGGAAUUCUAGUAUUGUAAUAACAGAACCUGGUUGCUGUACGUGUGUGUAUUUGUCACUGCUUGUGUGUGUGCACAGCAUUUCCCUCUGCUACCUUCUGCCCCUUCAUAAUUUGGUGUAUCUGGUUGGUCUUUCUUCCUAAAUUCAGGCCCAGAAAUAAAGGAAAAGAAUUUUCAGAAUGACAGUCCUUAUAACCAGAUGCUUAUCAGCAUCCUUCACAAUGUCCUGAAGAUAAAUUUUUACAAGGUGGAGUCACAGGAGAAAAUCCAAAGAGGAGUAAAAAAUAAUAAUGCUGAUGUCAUGUUAGAGUGGAGGCCCUGGACACUGUUGUGGACCCAGUCUCAAGUUUCUGCUACAGUUAGAAGAUGUGGAAGUGAUCAGGUGCAAAUCGAAUUUUUCACACAAGCGAAGCCCGAGUCAGCAUGGGGGGCGGUGGCGGAGGGGCAGGGAGAGACUGUCAUUGAUAGAGAGUUACUUAGGACACAGUCAGCAGGGCUGGGAUACAGCUACAGUUUUAUAUACAUUCAUGGGUAUAGAAAACAUGGACAUCAAGGCCUUUGUAGGAAAAAGUUUGGUCAUUACUGA
This 714-nucleotide long non-coding RNA is filed under the name Macaca mulatta (Rhesus monkey). Its description in RNAcentral is "lncRNA (ENSMMUG00000054074.1)". The record is from RNAcentral. Lineage: Eukaryota; Metazoa; Chordata; Mammalia; Primates; Cercopithecidae.